RNAcentral lists this ribosomal RNA (501 nucleotides) under uncultured bacterium. Its description in RNAcentral is "partial 16S ribosomal RNA". It matches the Rfam family "Bacterial small subunit ribosomal RNA", at positions 30 to 523 of the family's 1533-position model. The record is from RNAcentral.
AUUGAACGCUGGCGGCAGGCUUAACACAUGCAAGUCGAGCGGAGAUGAGGUGCUUGCACCUUAUCUUAGCGGCGGACGGGUGAGUAAUGCUUAGGAAUCUGCCAUUUAGUGGGGGACAACAUUCCGAAAGGAAUGCUAAUACCGCAUACGUCCUACGGGAGAAAGCAGGGGAUCUUCGGACCUUGCGCUAAAUGAUGAGCCUAAGUCGGAUUAGCUAGUUGGUGGGGUAAAGGCCUACCAAGGCGACGAUCUGUAGCGGGUCUGAGAGGAUGAUCCGCCACACUGGGACUGAGACACGGCCCAGACUCCUACGGGAGGCAGCAGUGGGGAAUAUUGGACAAUGGGGGGAACCCUGAUCCAGCCAUGCCGCGUGUGUGAAGAAGGCCUUAUGGUUGUAAAGCACUUUAAGCGAGGAGGAGGCUACUUUAGUUAAUACCUAGAGAUAGUGGACGUUACUCGCAGAAUAAGCACCGGCUAACUCUGUGCCAGCAGCCGCAGUAA